UACCCGCCCCCUCCUCAUCAGAGAAUAUCCCACCGUAUGAAAAGUCUUCACCCUGCCGAGUCAUGGCCUCACUUUGAGUCCAGUCAGGUCUUUGUGUGGUUUGGUUUGGAGGCGAGGUUUCAAGCACACACGGGUGCUAUUAUGAAUCACCAAGAGAAACUGGAACAUGGAGAAGACAGGAAAGGGUACUGGUGGCUGGUAAGAAGUCCAAGGGUUACAAUAAGAAGUGUUAAUACUGCCUAAAAGAGCGUAUCAGUCUACUUAAAGCAAUGACUGAAUGUUGAGCAAAAAUAGAGAUGAACAAAAUGUCUAACCUGUUUUUGUUGCACCUGCAGGUUGGCAAGUUAACAAUAGAGCAAGGCAUGGUAAAAUGAAUAUCCAUGAACUAUCCUGUGUCAACUGUUAAUAAUGGGCUAUUUAAUCCUGUUCUGUUAACCUGUUUGUGAUGCAGAGCGAUGCAGAGCCCAUUGUUUUGCAAGAAGAGGCUAACAAGGCACAAUAAGUCCCAUCGUGCCUGAAAACGUAACAAGAGCAGCUUUCACACGCUUUAGCAGCUAAUUUAUCAAGACCACUUAUGCAAAUCAAGUCAGAUGCAAUUUUCCAGUUAGAACACCUGAGCCUCAGCUCGGCAGCAGCAGCAGCAGGCAGGUGAAGGAGCAGCCUGUGGAUCCCUACUGAGCCAGCAGCCAGCGGGCAGAGAAGCACAGACUGCUGCAGGUAUGACAUGACUGUUAAUGCUCUCUGAGUGUUAUGACUUGGAAAUUGUUUUUAUUUUCUCAUUCUAUUAGAUAAAAAAAAGACUUGUUGGCAAAUAGAAAAUUUGUUAUUUCAGGCUCUUGUGCCUUUGUCAUGAUGGUGAGUUAGGAUGUGUAUCCUCUGGGAAUACAUACCAUUAGUAAUUGCAUUUAAAAUUGAUGAGUUCUUAACUAAAACAAUGAAGGCUGCUCAUUUCAAUUACAUAACACUCCUUUUUAUUACCACUUAAUAAAACUGUAUUAGUCUCUCCUCCUGCCAAGUAUGCCCCACAUCUCCAUGUGAGAGAGGCCGUUGCUCACAGGUUUGUUCAUCUGAUGUUGACUUUCUGAUGAAGCCUGUUAGAUAAAUGUCACAGCCUUUAACACUGAAUGCUUAUGGGAUUACUGGGUGAUGCUAACACAACAAUGUCAUUAAGGCAGCAUUUUAUAUUCUCAGGCAGUUGUUUCACACAUUUUUUAUUUAAAUGAGCUUAUGUUUUUAUGAAUCUCCAUUAAAGUUGCUCUGAUUAUUUCAA
This is a long non-coding RNA of Notolabrus celidotus (New Zealand spotty), 1270 nucleotides long. RefSeq lists it as uncharacterized. The transcript is spliced from 2 exons. NCBI's taxonomy places the organism in Eukaryota, Metazoa, Chordata, Actinopteri, Labriformes, Labridae. The record is from RefSeq and is a predicted model, not a curated record.